Long non-coding RNA from Carassius carassius (crucian carp), 1000 nucleotides. RefSeq lists it as uncharacterized. The transcript is spliced from 3 exons. Lineage: Eukaryota; Metazoa; Chordata; Actinopteri; Cypriniformes; Cyprinidae. The record is from RefSeq and is a predicted model, not a curated record.
UAUUAUCACACACUGAAAAAAAAGAUUUGUUGGAUUUACUCAAUUGAAUUAUGGACAUUGGUUCCACACAUUCCGUUCGAGUUCAAAGUAUCCUAUGCAUUUAUGUGGUUUCAUUAUAAUACGGUUGUGUUAAUCCUAUGCAAUUUCAAAAAGUAAUGUGUACAUAGUCUUUUCAAGUUAUACUAACAUAAUUCUGUUAUGCUAGUUUAACAUUAUUAUUUUAUUUCAGAUAUCUGCUUCAAUCAUGUUAAUUCUGUGCAAUUAAAUCAAGUUAUCUUAACAUAAUUUUAAUAACUUCACUCAAAUAAAAUUUUAAUACACAUUUCAAUGGUUUGUUGUCGCAUGUUUCAUUUCAUGUAACACAAAAACCUUUUGUAAAUCCUUUAUUUAAUAAUUUGAACAAUGUGUAAUUUAAAUGGCAUGUCUAAAUAACAUUGUGCUUUCAAAAGCAUAGCAUAAAUGACUUCUCUGAUGAUUAAAUUUAAUAAAAAUACAUAUCAGUUUUAAUUAGACUAGUAUAAAAACAAAGACAGUUCAUUUUGUAAGCAUAACAUGUAGAUCAACAAUAUAUGUAAACCUUCAUAAGUUUUACAAGAUUUCUUUCUUUUUUUUAAACAAGAUCAUAAACAUAAGUAACAUUAUACUGCAUGUAACUGUGUGUUUAAAAACUAAUAAAACAUUGUAACACUAAUUUAUUUCAUUUUUCUCAGAAACCUUAAAACUGUACCCAAGAACACCAGUACCUGGAACUAGGGCUGCAUGAUGUUCACAUCGCAGGAUGUGCGAUGUAGGCUGUCGUAGUUGAUCCGUUAUUCAUUAACAGUACGGGCCAGCUGCUCCCCGGCUCUUGACGAAUGUGAUUCGCAGAUUAAUUGUACAGCUUAACCAUCAUAGAGUGAAAGUUUACCAUUUACAUGUGUUUUUAAGUCCUGUCAGUUUAACAGGGCAGAGAGAGCGCGCGAGAGAGAAGAGAGAGAGAGAGAGGGAGAGGGAGAGAGAG